This 497-nucleotide ribosomal RNA is filed under the name uncultured bacterium. RNAcentral describes it as "partial 16S ribosomal RNA". It matches the Rfam family "Bacterial small subunit ribosomal RNA", at positions 28 to 507 of the family's 1533-position model. The record is from RNAcentral.
GAUGAACGCUGGCGGCGUGCCUAAUACAUGCAAGUCGAGCGAACAGACGAUGAGCUUGCUCCUCUGACGUUAGCGGCGGACGGGUGAGUAACACGUGGAUAACCUACCUAUAAGACUGGGAUAACUUCGGGAAACCGGAGCUAAUACCGGAGAAGAUAUUGAACCGCAUGGGUGAAUGGUGAAAGACGGUUUUGCGGGCACGUAUAGAUGGAUCCGCGCCGCAUUAGCUAGUUGGUAAGGUAACGGCUUACCAAGGCGACGAUGCGUAGCCGACCUGAGAGGGUGAUAGGCCACACGGGAACUGAGACACGGUCCAGACUCCUACGGGAGGCAGCAGUAGGGAAUCUUCCGCAAUGGGCGAAAGCCUGACGGAGCAACGCCGCGUGAGUGAUGAAGGUCUUCGGAUCGUAAAACUCUGUUAUUAGGGAAGAACAAAUGUGUAAGUAACUAUGCACGUCUUGACGGUACCUAAUCAGAAAGCCACGGCUAACUACGUG